GCUGCUACUGCUGCUGCUGGGGCGGAGUGAUGUCACAGGCACGUGACCGAAGCCAGAGGGCUCCUCCUUCCUGUCCCGAUCGCCGGAAAACCAGCUUUGGGGAGGGCUCUGCCCACUGGAAAGGGAAGACGACGACUCUCAGGCGGCGCUGGUGACAAAAGGCUCCGCUGGCUCCCCAGAAAAGCAGCUCUUUGGAGGGAUCUUUCCAGUCGAGAGCUUUGCUGCUUCCGCCCAAACCAUGACUGCCUUCGAAGAAGGAGAUGAAGCGUCAGCCCUGGUUGCUGGAAGAACAACCUGGAAGAAUCCGCUUGGCCAGCAGCAUCCAUGGCUUCUUCCACCCAGUGCCUGGUACCAGACCCCCGCCAGGGCUCCCAGCCCCACCAGCGUCCUAGCCGAGAUUCCCAAGCCUUCCCAGCCUUCAGCAUCACUAAGAAUUGGCGCAGGGCCUUUCUUGCAAUAUUCCUAAGCGGAGGCCGCCCUCUUGUGGCUCAGCCUCCAUACUGUAGUGCUAGGAUGAAUCUAGGUCACUCGCGUAUACACACACAUCUCCCGACGCCGGAAGACCAGCGUUUGGGGAGGUAGGUGUCCUCUAUUGAGGGGCAGAAGGGAAAGGGACACUGCUUGGGUUCAACCCAUCAUCACCUCCUCGGUAGGUGAUGAAGCCCUGCUGGUUUUUAAUCUGACCCUGAAAGCAGCGGAGACCUAUUUAAUAGAGAGAGCUUAGCAUCCUGGCUAGCCCUAGAUUAAGGCUGUUUGCAGUUCCUUGUCCAGCUGAGUCCAAGCCACCCCCAGCCAUAGCAAGAGGCUCUUUCUGGGGGGGGGGGGGGCAGUACAAGCCAUAAAGGAGGGGGGAGUUAGCCCUGUGAGACUAGGACUCUAGGAUGCAAACCAAGAGCAUACUCAGGGCUUACCAGGAGGCGGAUGAAAAAGGAUGCAGGCUCCUGUUUGGUCAGGCAAUGCCCUCUGUCUAAUCCAGCACAUGGGAAAGGCAGUCUCUGAUUGCCACGCCAUGUUUAAUGCUGGAAAUUGCAUGCCACCAUCAGAGAAAGUACAAAAUUCUCACCACUGAGGGUCAGCCCUGACCCCUUCCCUCCCUAACUGCCACCUGUGCCUUCUUCUUUUUCCUAUCCAGGAUUUACUACCUUGGGCUCCUAAGCAGCUUGGUCGUUUCUUAUGAGUGGAAAGCGAGCGCUGGCGCUUUCUGAUUUGUAAGCAAAGGGCACCGCCUUGUGGCUCAUCUGCCACACUGCACUUCCCUGGCCACUGUUGUCUGGCUGGGUUAGUCAUCCAGGCCCGAGAACAUACCCUGACCCCUAGAAAGCCAGCUUCCAAUAAAUUUCUAGUUUAGUUUCCUGGAAGAGGGGGCUCUUAACAUUUCCUCCCCCAUUUGCUGCUGCUUCCGCCCAAAGGGUUAUUUCUUCGCAAUCAGCAGCAGAUGCAGCUCCUGAGAGGAUGAGAGAGGGGGAUCUGCAGUCCAAUGGUAUCUAAGGGCUUCCAGGGGGAUGUCUAACCAAGAUGGUUUUGGGGGCUUCUUUCUUUUAUUGCUACAAGACCCUCCCUCCAAAGGAACAGAGGAGCCAGUCUUCCUUGACGGAAUGAGGCGACAGCACAGGCUUCCCGAUUUCUAAGCAAAGGCCGCCACCUGGUGGCUCACCUGCCACACUACAGCUCCUUGCCAUUAUUGCUAGGCUGGCUUUAGGCCAAAAGCUCUCAGAACUUGGAAAGGACUGUCCAAGGUGCCCAGGGUCACAGUUGCCACCUGGAGGGCCAUGUGAUCCCUAGCCCUCCUUGGCACAAGGGUAAGUGCAAGGAAAGAUGUUGUCUUGCAAGACUGACCCACCAACAGAGUUCUUAUUUAUUUCUUUAUUGGUGUGUUUGCUUGCCUGUCUGUUUGAUGUCUUGCCUUUCUUCUAGUCUGGGACCCAAAGCAGAUCCAGUAUUAAUUCAUGGAUGGAGCUGGGGAGAUGUUUCAUGUAGUGUUCUACUUGGAUGUAAAGCUUAAUAAACCUCUUUCCAGCCCA
Molecule: long non-coding RNA, 2021 nt
Organism: Sceloporus undulatus (fence lizard)
Lineage: Eukaryota; Metazoa; Chordata; Lepidosauria; Squamata; Phrynosomatidae
Exons: 3
Source: RefSeq, a predicted model, not a curated record